AUUGAACGCUGGCGGCAGGCCUAACACAUGCAAGUCGAACGAGUGGCGGACGGGUGAGUAAUGUCUGGGAAACUGCCUGAUGGAGGGGGAUAACUACUGGAAACGGUAGCUAAUACCGCAUACCAUCGGAUGUGCCCAGAUGGGAUUAGCUAGUAGGUGGGGUAACGGCUCACCUAGGCGACGAUCCCUAGCUGGUCUGAGAGGAUGACGAGCCACACUGGAACUGAUACAAGGUCCAGACUCCUGCGGGAGGCAGCCGGGGGGAAUAUUGCACAAGGGGCGCAAGCCUGAUGCAGCCAGGCCUGGUGUAGGAAGAAGGGCGUCGGGUUGUAAAGGACUUUCAGCGGUGAGGCGUUACCCGCAGAAGAAGCACCGGCUAACUCCGUGCCAGCAGCCGCGGUAAUAC
Molecule: ribosomal RNA, 406 nt
Filed under: uncultured bacterium
Lineage: Bacteria
Description: partial 16S ribosomal RNA
Rfam family: Bacterial small subunit ribosomal RNA
Source: RNAcentral